CCUACGGGUGGCAGCAGUGGGGAAUAUUGCGCAAUGGGCGAAAGCCUGACGCAGCGACGCCGCGUGAGGGAUGAAGGUCUUCGGAUCGGAAACCUCUUUCAGCAGGGAAGAACGGUCACUGUGCUAAUCAGCAGUGAAUUGACGUUACCUGCAAAGGAAGCACCGCCUAAAUCCGUGCGAGCAGCCGCGGUAGUUCGGAGGGUGCGAGCGUUAAUCGGAAUUACUGGGCGUAAAGCGGUCGUAGGCGGUAUGUCAAGUAAAGGGUGAAAUCCCCGCGCUCAACGUGGGAACUGCCUUUGAAACUGGCAAACUGGAGUGUGUGAGAGGAUAGUGGAAUUCCAGGUGUAGGAGUGAAAUCCGUAGAUAUCUGGAGGAACAUCAGUGGCGAAGGCGACUAUCUGGCACAUAACUGACGCUGAGGAGCGAAAGCGUGGGUAGCAAACAGGAUUAGAUACCCGGGUAGUC
Molecule: ribosomal RNA, 465 nt
Filed under: uncultured bacterium
Lineage: Bacteria
Description: partial 16S ribosomal RNA
Rfam family: Bacterial small subunit ribosomal RNA
Source: RNAcentral